RNAcentral lists this ribosomal RNA (305 nucleotides) under uncultured bacterium. RNAcentral describes it as "bacterial SSU rRNA". It matches the Rfam family "Bacterial small subunit ribosomal RNA", at positions 334 to 636 of the family's 1533-position model. The record is from RNAcentral.
UUGUCCUACGGGACGCAGCAGUGAGGAAUAUUGGUCAAUGGGCGAGAGCCUGAACCAGCCAAGUCGCGUGAGGGAAGACGGCCCUACGGGUUGUAAACCUCUUUUGUCAGGGAGCAAGAACGGAUACGUGUAUCCGAGCGAGAGUACCUGAAGAAAAAGCAUCGGCUAACUCCGUGCCAGCAGCCGCGGUAAUACGGAGGAUGCGAGCGUUAUCCGGAUUUAUUGGGUUUAAAGGGAGCGUAGGCGGGCCGUUAAGUCAGUUGUGAAAGUUCGGGGCUCAACCCCGGAAUUGCAGUUGAAACUGG